Carassius carassius (crucian carp) is the source of this 396-nucleotide long non-coding RNA. RefSeq lists it as uncharacterized. NCBI's taxonomy places the organism in Eukaryota, Metazoa, Chordata, Actinopteri, Cypriniformes, Cyprinidae. The record is from RefSeq and is a predicted model, not a curated record. The transcript has 3 exons.
UUAUUGUGUUUUUUUUAAUAUUAUAAUCACCUUGUUUUUGGAUCUCUGAUCUCAGACAAGGAGGUGAACCUUCACCGAUCAUCAUUUCAAUUGUGACAGACACUGAUAAUAUUGGAGUCGCUAUGGAGAGCCAGGACAAUUUUAAUAAAACUCUGAUUGGAUUCGUCUAACUGAAGAAAGUCAUACACUUAGGAUGGCUUGAGGUUAAUUUGCUCUGUGAUCUGUUUCCGCCCGUGGCUGUGAUUUUAACACACCCUCAUUAGUGCACAUGAUUAAUUAGACUUUUCACUGACAUGAGAGAUGUUGCUGUUGAUCCAAAUAUCGAAUCUUCCACCAAAGCCUCUUUACACAACAUGCUUGUUUUUUAAUAAAGAUCUUGAAGAUGCUGCUGAUGUA